RNAcentral lists this ribosomal RNA (478 nucleotides) under uncultured bacterium. Its description in RNAcentral is "partial 16S ribosomal RNA". It matches the Rfam family "Bacterial small subunit ribosomal RNA", at positions 28 to 523 of the family's 1533-position model. The record is from RNAcentral.
GACGAACGCUGGCGGCGUGCUUAACACAUGCAAGUCGAACGGUAAGGCCCUUCGGGGUACACGAGUGGCGAACGGGUGAGUAACACGUGGGUGAUCUGCCCUGCACUUCGGGAUAAGCCUGGGAAACUGGGUCUAAUACCGGAUAGGACCACUGCCUGCAUGGGUGGUGGUGGAAAACUUUUGCGGUGUGGGAUGGGCCCGCGGCCUAUCAGCUUGUUGGUGGGGUGAUGGCCUACCAAGGCGACGACGGGUAGCCGGCCUGAGAGGGUGACCGGCCACACUGGGACUGAGAUACGGCCCAGACCCCUACGGGAGGCAGCAGUGGGGAAUAUUGUACAAUGGGCGCAAGCCUGAUGCAGCGACGCCGCGUGAGGGAUGACGGCCUUCGGGUUGUAAACCUCUUUCAGCAUCGACGAAGCGAAAGUGACGGUAGGUGCAGAAGAAGGACCGGCCAACUACGUGCCAGCAGCCGCCGCGG